This 74-nucleotide transfer RNA is filed under the name Rickettsiales bacterium. RNAcentral describes it as "tRNA-Glu". It matches the Rfam family "tRNA". From Rfam's summary of the family: Transfer RNA (tRNA) molecules are approximately 80 nucleotides in length. Lineage: Bacteria; Pseudomonadati; Pseudomonadota; Alphaproteobacteria; Rickettsiales. The record is from RNAcentral.
GCCUUUUUCGUCUAAUUUGGUAAGGACCUUGCUUUUUCACAGCAAAAAUGUGGGUUCAAAUCCCAUAAAAGGUA